CUCUAAACACAAAGACAAAGCCCGCCACCGCGACUGUGACUACCACCGACGACUGCUACUAUCUGUGUACACCUUCUACUCGAAAGGAGUCUGUUCUUAGGAAGCCAAUGCAGAUAUGAACAUGUUAAAGUUUUUUGAUCACAGUCCUCCACUACAUCUGCGUCCACAAUUUCUCGCCAAUUUUUGGUUUCUGAUCCAAUUUUUGGUCUCAUUCAUUCUGUAUAUCUUGUAUCAGGAAUUGGCAUAGUAGUUCCCCAACCUCUGGAAUGGAUGCCAACUCUACAUUGAGUGCAUGCCUAAUAUGUAGAAAGGUUUCAUACUUUGUCAUUCCUAGUGCCAUUUGGUAUUCUACAAAAGAAGAAAAAUAGGAAAUUGUUGACAGUUACAAAGCAAAACUCAGGUUAUGGAGCAUAGACUUGGCCAUUUGCCUUUUUCUAAGAAGCAAGUAGUCACUUCAACAGAUGUGUUUUAGGAGAAAAAUUAGUAGCAACGCAUGCACUCAAUUCAAAUAUUUCCGGAGUAGGAGUUUGCUUCUCGUGGAUUUCAUGCUUGUGAAGAAUGCCACUAAUUUUUGUUUUUGUACCACGGAGGAUGCUGAGGAAAACUUUUAAUUUUGAUUUCUGUUUUUUUGACUUAUGAAUAACAUUAUGUAUUUAAACAUUAUAUAUGCAUUAUGGAACAUUAUGUA
Non-coding RNA from Camellia sinensis, 688 nucleotides. The record is from RefSeq and is a predicted model, not a curated record. NCBI's taxonomy places the organism in Eukaryota, Viridiplantae, Streptophyta, Magnoliopsida, Ericales, Theaceae.